Non-coding RNA from Delphinapterus leucas (beluga whale), 850 nucleotides. NCBI's taxonomy places the organism in Eukaryota, Metazoa, Chordata, Mammalia, Artiodactyla, Monodontidae. The record is from RefSeq and is a predicted model, not a curated record.
GCUGUAAUUGCCAUUUCUCCUCCCCUGUACAGUUCGUGAGAAGGCAACAAGUUCUCCUCCUCUACAGAAGGAUUUUGCAGGCAAUUCGGCAAGUUCCAAAUGAUUCUGAUCGCAAAUACCUGAAGCACUGGGCAAGGGAAGAAUUCAAAAGAAACAAAAGUGCCACCGAAGAGGAUACAAUCCGGAUGAUGAUUACUCAAGGCAAUAUGCAGCUCAAAGAGUUAGAGAAAACACUUGCUUUAGCCAGAUCUUAACUACAGCAUUAUUCUGAAAGGUUUUCAAAGUCUCCAUGUGUUUAGUUGAGCUUAGGCUCAACAGUGGGUAGCCCAAAGCCAAGUGAAACUGUCUGUACAUAGAGCCCUUGAGCAAAAUAUCGGAACAUGGAGCAUGGCAUAUCAGAGAGAGCCAAGAAAAGGGCAUAAGAGCAAUUGUCUUAGCACUGAAAACAUACCUUUUAUUUUGAAAAUGUUCUUGGAUAUGUCAGCAGUUUUUGGAAGAAGCAAAAACCAGUACGAUAGCACAUAAAAAGAUGUUCAACACCAUUAAUCAUUAGGAAAAUGCAAAUCAAAACCACCAAGAGAUACUAUUUACAUCCACUAGAAUGGCUAUAAUUAAAAAGGGAGAUAAUUGCAAAUGUUGGCGAGGAUGUGGAGAAACUGGAACCCUUAAACACUGCUGGUGGGACUAUAAAAUUGUGCAGCCACUUUGGAAAAAAAGACUGUCAGUUGCCCAAAAGGUUAAACAGCAUUAUUCAUAAUAGCCAAAAAGUAGACAAUCCAAAUGCCCACCAGCUGAUUAAUGGAUAAGUAAAACGUGGUAUACCCAUACAAUAAAAUAUUAUUUAGCAAAC